This 497-nucleotide ribosomal RNA is filed under the name uncultured bacterium. RNAcentral's name for it is "partial 16S ribosomal RNA". It matches the Rfam family "Bacterial small subunit ribosomal RNA", at positions 28 to 507 of the family's 1533-position model. The record is from RNAcentral.
GAUGAACGCUGGCGGCGUGCCUAAUACAUGCAAGUCGAGCGAACAGACGAGGAGCUUGCUCCUCUGACGUUAGCGGCGGACGGGUGAGUAACACGUGGAUAACCUACCUAUAAGACUGGGAUAACUUCGGGAAACCGGAGCUAAUACCGGAUAAUAUAUUGAACCGCAUGGUUCAAUAGUGAAAGACGGUUUUGCUGUCACUUAUAGAUGGAUCCGCGCCGCAUUAGCUAGUUGGUAAGGUAACGGCUUACCAAGGCAACGAUGCGUAGCCGACCUGGGAGGGUGAUCGGCCACACUGGAACUGAGACACGGUCCAGACUCCUACGGGAGGCAGCAGUAGGGAAUCUUCCGCAAUGGGCGAGAGCCUGACGGAGCAACGCCGCGUGAGUGAUGAAGGUCUUCGGAUCGUAAAACUCUGUUAUUAGGGAAGAACAAAUGUGUAAGUAACUAUGCACGUCUUGACGGUACCUAAUCAGAAAGCCACGGCUAACUACGUG